AACGAACGCUGGCAGCGUGCUUAACACAUGCAAGUCGAACGAGAAAGUCCUUCGAGAUGAGUAGAGUGGCGCACGGGUGAGUAAUGGAUAGGAACGUACCUUUAGGAGGGGGAUAACCACGGGAAACUGUGGCUAAUACCGCAUGAAAUCGCGAGAUCAAAGUGGGCCUAUGCUUGCAAGCUCACACCUAAAGAGCGGCCUAUCUCCCAUUAGCUAGUUGGCGGGGUAAAGGCCCACCAAGGCGACGAUGGGUUGCUGGUCUGAGAGGAUGAUCAGCCACACUGGAACUGAGACACGGUCCAGACUCCUACGGGAGGCAGCAGUGGGGAAUAUUGCACAAUGGGGGAAACCCUGAUGCAGCAACGCCGCGUGAGUGAAGAAGGCCCUUGGGUCGUAAAGCUCUUUCGGCUGGGAAGAAGAGGAUGUUGGUUAAUACCUGACAUUUUUGACGGUACUAGAAGAAGAAGCACUGGCUAAUUCCGUGCCAGCCGCCGCCGUAA
This 500-nucleotide ribosomal RNA is filed under the name uncultured bacterium. Its description in RNAcentral is "partial 16S ribosomal RNA". It matches the Rfam family "Bacterial small subunit ribosomal RNA", at positions 29 to 523 of the family's 1533-position model. The record is from RNAcentral.